RNAcentral lists this ribosomal RNA (460 nucleotides) under uncultured bacterium. Its description in RNAcentral is "partial 16S ribosomal RNA". It matches the Rfam family "Bacterial small subunit ribosomal RNA", at positions 338 to 795 of the family's 1533-position model. The record is from RNAcentral.
CCUACGGGUGGCAGCAGUGAGGAAUAUUGGUCAAUGGACGAGAGUCUGAACCAGCCAAGUAGCGUGAAGGAUGACUGCCCUAUGGGUUGUAAACUUCUUUUAUAUGGGAAUAAAAUGUUCCACGUGUGGGAUUUUGUAUGUAUCAUAUGAAUAAGGAUCGGCUAACUCCGUGCCAGCAGCCGCGGUAAUACGGAGGAUCCGAGCGUUAUCCGGAUUUAUUGGGGUUAAAGGGAGCGUAGGUGGAUGGUUAAGUCAGUUGUGAAAGUUUGCGGCUCAACCCUAAAAUUGCAGUUGAAACUGGCAGUCUUGAGUACAGGAGAGGUGGGCGGAAUUCGUGGUGUAGCGGUGAAAUGCUUAGAUAUCACGAAGAACUCCGAUUGCGAAGGCAGUUCACUGGACUGCAACUGACACUGAGGCUCGAAAGUGUGGGUAUCAAACAGGAUUAGAUACCCGAGUAGUC